This 467-nucleotide ribosomal RNA is filed under the name uncultured bacterium. RNAcentral describes it as "partial 16S ribosomal RNA". It matches the Rfam family "Bacterial small subunit ribosomal RNA", at positions 28 to 507 of the family's 1533-position model. The record is from RNAcentral.
GACGAACGCUGGCGGCGUGCUUAACACAUGCAAGUCGAACGGAAAGGCCCUGCUUUUGUGGGGUGCUCGAGUGGCGAACGGGUGAGUAACACGUGAGUAACCUGCCCUUGACUUUGGGAUAACUUCAGGAAACUGGGGCUAAUACCGGAUAGGAGCUCCUGCUGCAUGGUGGGGGUUGGAAAGUUUCGGCGGUUGGGGAUGGACUCGCGGCUUAUCAGCUUGUUGGUGGGGUAGUGGCUUACCAAGGCUUUGACGGGUAGCCGGCCUGAGAGGGUGACCGGCCACAUUGGGACUGAGAUACGGCCCAGACUCCUACGGGAGGCAGCAGUGGGGAAUAUUGCACAAUGGGCGGAAGCCUGAUGCAGCAACGCCGCGUGCGGGACGACGGCCUUCGGGUUGUAAACCGCUUUCGCCUGUGACGAAGCGUGAGUGACGGUAAUGGGUAAGAAGCACCGGCUAACUACGUG